This 70-nucleotide transfer RNA is filed under the name Cricetulus griseus (Chinese hamster). It matches the Rfam family "tRNA". Rfam says of the family: Transfer RNA (tRNA) molecules are approximately 80 nucleotides in length. Their secondary structure includes four short double-helical elements and three loops (D, anti-codon, and T loops). Lineage: Eukaryota; Metazoa; Chordata; Mammalia; Rodentia; Cricetidae. The record is from Rfam by way of RNAcentral.
GGGGAGAUGGCUCAGUGGUUGAGAGCACUGGCCACUCUUCCAGAUGUCCUGGGUUCAGUUCCCAGCCCCU